UGGUGGAGGCGCCUCGGGCGCACCCAGAAACCCUUUGUGAACUUAUACCUUAUUGUUGCCUCGGCGCAGGCCGGCCCCCUUCUGGGGGGCCCCUCGUUUCUGACGAGGAGCAGGCUCGCCGGCGGCCAAGUUAACUCUUGUUUUUUAUUGUGAAACUCUGAGAAUAAAACAUAAAUGAAUCAAAACUUUCAACAACGGAUCUCUUGGUUCUGGCAUCGAUGAAGAACGCAGCGAAAUGCGAUAAGUAAUGUGAAUUGCAGAAUUCAGUGAAUCAUCGAAUCUUUGAACGCACAUUGCGCCCUCUGGUAUUCCGGAGGGCAUGCCUGUUCGAGCGUCAUUUCAACCCUCAAGCCUGGCUUGGUGAUGGGGCACUGCCUUGUGUAAAAGCGAGGCAGGCCCUGAAAUUCAGUGGCGAGCUCGCCAGGACUCCGAGCGCAGUAGUUAAACCCUCGCUUUGGAAGGACUGGCGGUGCCCUGCCGUUAAACCCCCAACUUUUGAAUAUUUGACCUCGGAUCAGGUAGGAAUACCCGCUGAACUUAAGCAUAUCAAUAAGGCGGAGGAAUCUUGCGGGAAAGCGCCUCAGCGCACCCAGAAACCCUUUGUGAACUUAUCCUUAUUGUUGCCUGGCGCAGCCGGCCCCCUUCUGGGGGGCCCCUCGUUUCUGAAAGGAGCAGGCUCCCGGCGACAAAUUACUCUGUUUUUUAUUGUGAAACUCGAAAAAAA
This 724-nucleotide ribosomal RNA is filed under the name fungal sp. NIS8. RNAcentral's name for it is "eukaryotic LSU rRNA". The stretch from base 184 to 337 matches the Rfam family "5.8S ribosomal RNA". The record is from RNAcentral. Lineage: Eukaryota; Fungi.